GAUUUUCAAAGGCAGGUCUCUUUUAUACAAAGAAACUGCUGGCAUUCUUAACUAGUGAAGAAUUAUGGCAAAAGCCGCCUUUUCUUCAGAAGUCUCAUGUAUGGUCCAAGAAAGCAUAUUCUGAUUGUAGCAACUGACCAGCCAAUCCAGAGUUCCACUAACAAAACUCCUGCCCUGUUGGCUUUUUUGUUUUUGUUUUCCAUUUCCUUCCCUGAGAAAAGGGCAACACGUGGUCCAAGCUGGAGAGCUCAAAGGCGUAAAGUUUCCUCCUUAUCUUCAUCUUCAUCAUCCUCUUCAUCAUCAUCAGGAUAAUCUACAAGCCCAACAAGGCCUCC
Molecule: long non-coding RNA, 335 nt
Filed under: Gallus gallus (chicken)
Lineage: Eukaryota; Metazoa; Chordata; Aves; Galliformes; Phasianidae
Source: RNAcentral